CCUGAUCAAAGAUGGAUCUGCAAAUCUCAGUUUUUCUUCUGUUCAUCCUUUUCACUGCAGGACACUCUCUCAGCUGUUAUGAGUGCACGGGUCUGACGGGUUCUUGUGCAAAUCAAAAUGUAAAAACAUGUCCCGGUGGAUUUUCCAAGUGCAUGAGUACAACAACAGCGGUAAAAGUUGGUGACAUCGGUGCUAAAGUGCAGCUUAAAGACUGUGCUGCUGACUGUGUAAGUGGAGCCAUGAACAUCGGCAUUGCAAAGACAUCUUUAGCGUGCUGUAACACAGACCGGUGUAACGUCCAAGACGCUCCAGGUAUCAUGCUUUACUGACCAUAUGCAAAAAAAUGAAUCUUUAAGGUCAACACUCAUUUUACUUCCAAAGGAGAUCAGGAAAUACAAAUUAUACCAUAUAGAGUGCAGCUUGCCAGUUGUGAAUUGAUUGAUUGGAGCAGCUAACAGAGUGUUAUUUCAUUACAUGCUAUAUUUUGCACAGAAGAUAAAACAAUGCAUGUUUUUGUCCUGUAGAUCCCAGCACUAGUGCCCCCAAUGGAAAGACUUGUUACUAUUGUGAUGAGAAGAGCUGCUCAAACAUAUUGAGCUGUUCAGGAAGUGAAGAC
RNAcentral lists this long non-coding RNA (616 nucleotides) under Sinocyclocheilus anshuiensis. RNAcentral describes it as "lncRNA (ENSSANG00000039726.1)". The record is from RNAcentral. Lineage: Eukaryota; Metazoa; Chordata; Actinopteri; Cypriniformes; Cyprinidae.